This 379-nucleotide ribosomal RNA is filed under the name uncultured bacterium. RNAcentral describes it as "bacterial SSU rRNA". It matches the Rfam family "Bacterial small subunit ribosomal RNA", at positions 362 to 758 of the family's 1533-position model. The record is from RNAcentral.
UAUUGGACAAUGGGGGAAACCCUGAUCCAGCAAUGCCGCGUGAGUGAUGAAGGCCUUCGGGUUGUAAAGCUCUUUUGUCAGGGACGAUGAUGACGGUACCUGACGAAUAAGCUCCGGCUAACUUCGUGCCAGCAGCCGCGGUAAUACGAGGGGAGCUAGCGUUGUUCGGAAUUACUGGGCGUAAAGGGCGUGUAGGCGGUACCAUAAGUCAGAUGUGAAAGCCCUAGGCUUAACCUAGGAAUUGCAUUUGAAACUGUGGAACUAGAGAUCGAGAGAGGUAAGUGGAAUUACGAGUGUAGAGGUGAAAUUCGUAGAUAUUCGUAAGAACACCAGUGGCGAAGGCAGCCCCCUGGGAUAACACUGACGCUCAUGCACGAAA